RNAcentral lists this small RNA (252 nucleotides) under Salvator merianae (Argentine black and white tegu). RNAcentral's name for it is "7SK RNA (ENSSMRG00000002459.1)". The stretch from base 1 to 163 matches the Rfam family "7SK RNA", at positions 9 to 171 of the family's 331-position model. From Rfam's summary of the family: 7SK was discovered as an abundant small nuclear RNA in the mid-70s but a possible function has only recently been suggested. Two independent studies have found that 7SK RNA binds the CDK9/cyclin T complex (known as elongation factor P-TEFb). P-TEFb activates transcription by phosphorylating the C-terminal domain of RNA polymerase II. The record is from RNAcentral. Lineage: Eukaryota; Metazoa; Chordata; Lepidosauria; Squamata; Teiidae.
GGGCAAUCUGGCUGCAACAUCUGUCACCCUGCGAAUCACCAGGGUUAAUUCGGCUGAGCUGGCUGGCUAAGUGGGUAUCCCCUUCCACUCUCACCACUCCACGUGUGUGCCCCUAGCAAAGCUGCAUGCGUGAUGAAUGAGAAUGAUCAUCCUAAACAGAAGGAGUAUAUCUAAUUCACACUGCAGCUGAGGGCACCUCUAUGAAAAUAUAUCUCUAUGCAAAUAAGUCAAAUAAGGCUUCUAUCAGCUAUA